AACGAACGCUGGCGGCAGGCCUAACACAUGCAAGUCGAACGCUGCAGCAAUGCAGAGUGGCAGACGGGUGAGUAACGCGUGGGAACCUUCCCAGUGGUACGGAAUAGCCCAGGGAAACUUGGGGUAAUACCGUAUAAGCCCCUAGGGGGAAAGAUUUAUCGCCAUUGGAUGGGCCCGCGUCGGAUUAGCUAGUUGGUGAGGUAACGGCUCACCAAGGCGACGAUCCGUAGCUGGUCUGAGAGGAUGAUCAGCCGCACUGGGACUGAGACACAGCCCAGACUCCUACGGGAGGCAGCAGUGGGGAAUAUUGGACAAUGGGCGCAAGCCUGAUCCAGCCAUGCCGCGUGAGUGACGAAGGCCUUAGGGUUGUAAAGCUCUUUUGGCGGGGACGAUAAUGACGGUACCCGCAGAAUAAGCUCCGGCUAACUUCGUGCCAGCCGCCGCAGUAA
RNAcentral lists this ribosomal RNA (449 nucleotides) under uncultured bacterium. RNAcentral describes it as "partial 16S ribosomal RNA". It matches the Rfam family "Bacterial small subunit ribosomal RNA", at positions 29 to 523 of the family's 1533-position model. The record is from RNAcentral.